Ipomoea nil (Japanese morning glory) is the source of this 1543-nucleotide RNA transcript. It is a transcript of the gene named GATA transcription factor 19-like, with no coding region annotated. The transcript is spliced from 10 exons. NCBI's taxonomy places the organism in Eukaryota, Viridiplantae, Streptophyta, Magnoliopsida, Solanales, Convolvulaceae. The record is from RefSeq and is a predicted model, not a curated record.
UAUAAUCGCAUUUGUUCAUUGCGUCGCUGUCUCCUUCUAUCCUCACUCUCGAACUCUCCUCUGAAAUCCUGAAUUUAAUCUUAAAAGGAAUUAAAUAAUAUAGGAAAACAGGAUUACUUGGAAUUCAAGCUGCAGGUGGAUUUAGUUGCAUGAAGAAUAAUAAGUUGAUGAUUGGAACUUGAAAGUUUGGUUGAUGGCGGCGAACCCCCGGCCACUGCAGGCGAUUCCCGUCCGCGAUCACGCGCCUCCGGCCGUAAGUUUAGAUGACGUGGAUGACGAUAACGGCACGUACGAAGAUGAUGAUACUAUGGAUGAGGAGGAGUACAGUCGAGUAAACUCUAAGAACCACCGCGGCGGCUCUCUGACUGAACGCCUGAAAGGCGGAGUUGUGGUGGCGCCGUCGAGGACUAGUGAACUAACUCUUGCUUUUGAAGGUGAAGUCUAUGUCUUCCCUGCCGUCACUCCCGAGAAGGUUCAAGCAGUGCUCUUGCUUUUGGGGGGACCUGAUAUUCCUACUGCUGUGCCCUCUGUAGAUGUUCCUUUGAAUAGCAAGGUUGAGGAUGAUAUGCCAAAGCACCCCAAUCUUUCAAGAAGAAUAGCCUCUCUGGUUAGGUUCCGUGAGAAAAGGAAGGAGAGAUGUUAUGAUAAGAAAAUUAGAUACACUGUCCGGAAGGAGGUUGCUCAAAGGAUGCACCGGAAGAAUGGUCAAUUUGCAUCAUUGAAGGGAGGUGGGUCAUCCAAUUGGGAUCCAUCGAACUGUGUCCUUGAAGAUGGUACACCGCAAUCAGAAACUGUUCCUCGUAGAUGUCACCAUUGUGGUGUUAGUGAGAAUUGCACUCCAGCAAUGCGUCGCGGGCCUGAUGGACCAAGAACACUUUGUAAUGCAUGUGGGCUAAAGUGGGCAAACAAGGGAACAUUGAGAGAUUUAAGCAAGGGAGGGAGGAUCAUUUCUCUGGAGCAUAGAGAGCUGGAUACACCAACUGAUAUCAAGCCUUCUGUCCUUCAAAAUGAGAGCUUCCCUCAUAAUCAGGAUGAACUAUGCAUGUAGGGAACUCCUGGAGAUCCCUUGAAAACUGCAACUCUAGGAACUCAAGUUCAUUCAGAUAAUCAUAACGAGAAUUUGCCUGGAAAUUGCAAGGAUCUUGCUAACAAGAUUCCUGAUGUUAUUGUCCGAUCUCCAGGCCACAUUGAUGUUCAGGAAACACUAGUUGACUUUGGAAAUGGUUCUAAAACAGAGAUAGAUAUUCCGGCAAACUUUGAAUAGUUUGUGUCCAGUCCCCAAACUGGCAUAUUAAGUCAAAUUUAUUUUUAUAAAUUCUCUAACUGCUUUCUGGAAUACAGAGGUUGGAUAUAUAUAUGAUACUGUCAGCAGCUUGACUGUAUAUAGUUGUUGGGUUGACUUGGAACAUAUGCUAGAGUGCAUAGAAGCCAAUUUAAACUUACAAGUUGUAAUAUGGGAAAAAUGGGUGGUUUAUAUUUGACUACUUGAGUAUAAAUGUAUAAUUAUGGGGUAUACGAAUGUAUGAAGGGUGUCGUGGAUAAA